GCAAGUCGAACGAACUCUGGUAUUGAUUGGUGCUUGCAUCAUGAUUUACAUUUGAGUGAGUGGCGAACUGGUGAGUAACACGUGGGAAACCUGCCCAGAAGCGGGGGAUAACACCUGGAAACAGAUGCUAAUACCGCAUAACAACUUGGACCGCAUGGUCCGAGUUUGAAAGAUGGCUUCGGCUAUCACUUUUGGAUGGUCCCGCGGCGUAUUAGCUAGAUGGUGGGGUAACGGCUCACCAUGGCAAUGAUACGUAGCCGACCUGAGAGGGUAAUCGGCCACAUUGGGACUGAGACACGGCCCAAACUCCUACGGGAGGCAGCAGUAGGGAAUCUUCCACAAUGGACGAAAGUCUGAUGGAGCAACGCCGCGUGAGUGAAGAAGGGUUUCGGCUCGUAAAACUCUGUUGUUAAAGAAGAACAUAUCUGAGAGUAACUGUUCAGGUAUUGACGGUAUUUAACCAGAAAGCCACGGCUAACUACGUGCCAGCAGCCGCGGUAAUACGUAGGUGGCAAGCGUUGUCCGGAUUUAUUGGGCGUAAAGCGAGCGCAGGCGGUUUUUUAAGUCUGAUGUGAAAGCCUUCGGCUCAACCGAAGAAGUGCAUCGGAAACUGGGAAACUUGAGUGCAGAAGAGGACAGUGGAACUCCAUGUGUAGCGGUGAAAUGCGUAGAUAUAUGGAAGAACACCAGUGGCGAAGGCGGCUGUCUGGUCUGUAACUGACGCUGAGGCUCGAAAGUAUGGGUAGCAAACAGGAUUAGAUACCCUGGUAGUCCAUACCGUAAACGAUGAAUGCUAAGUGUUGGAGGGUUUCCGCCCUUCAGUGCUGCAGCUAACGCAUUAAGCAUUCCGCCUGGGGAGUACGGCCGCAAGGCUGAAACUCAAAGGAAUUGACGGGGGCCCGCACAAGCGGUGGAGCAUGUGGUUUAAUUCGAAGCUACGCGAAGAACCUUACCAGGUCUUGACAUACUAUGCAAAUCUAAGAGAUUAGACGUUCCCUUCGGGGACAUGGAUACAGGUGGUGCAUGGUUGUCGUCAGCUCGUGUCGUGAGAUGUUGGGUUAAGUCCCGCAACGAGCGCAACCCUUAUUAUCAGUUGCCAGCAUUAAGUUGGGCACUCUGGUGAGACUGCCGGUGACAAACCGGAGGAAGGUGGGGAUGACGUCAAAUCAUCAUGCCCCUUAUGACCUGGGCUACACACGUGCUACAAUGGAUGGUACAACGAGUUGCGAACUCGCGAGAGUAAGCUAAUCUCUUAAAGCCAUUCUCAGUUCGGAUUGUAGGCUGCAACUCGCCUACAUGAAGUCGGAAUCGCUAGUAAUCGCGGAUCAGCAUGCCGCGGUGAAUACGUUCCCGGGCCUUGUACACACCGCCCGUCACACCAUGAGAGUUUGUAACACCCAAAGUCGGUGGGGUAACCUUUUAGGAACCAGCCGCCU
RNAcentral lists this ribosomal RNA (1436 nucleotides) under Lactiplantibacillus plantarum. Its description in RNAcentral is "bacterial SSU rRNA". It matches the Rfam family "Bacterial small subunit ribosomal RNA". Lineage: Bacteria; Bacillati; Bacillota; Bacilli; Lactobacillales; Lactobacillaceae. The record is from RNAcentral.